RNAcentral lists this ribosomal RNA (253 nucleotides) under uncultured archaeon. RNAcentral's name for it is "partial 16S ribosomal RNA". It matches the Rfam family "Archaeal small subunit ribosomal RNA", at positions 474 to 727 of the family's 1478-position model. The record is from RNAcentral.
UACUCGCGGUCCAAGUCGCAAUCACGUUUAUUGGGUCUAAAACAUCCGUAGCUCGCCACGCAAGUCUCUUGUGAAAUCCCACAUCUUAAGUGUGGAAGUGCAAGAGAUACUACAUGGCUAGAGACCGGGAGAGGCAAGGAGUACGGUUAGGGUAUCGGUAAAAUGAGUUAAUCCUAUCUGGACUGACAAUAGCGAAGGCACCUUGCUAGAACGGAUCUGACAGUGAGGGAUGAAGGCUAGGGGCGCAAAACGG